CAGCCACCAGUGCUCCCAGCCUGCUUCCGUGUGCUUUGAGUCUCCACAGACGCCACAGCCAAGUGAAGAAGAUCUUUGCAUGAACACGACCUUUCAGCUGGUGAAUCAGAUGACCAGAAAAAUUCCCCACAUCAGUUUUCUUUAUGGAGUGACCUACACACCGAGAAGAGCCGCUCAGCUCUCAAAACUGCUGUCAUGUAGAUACCUACGUGGAUAAACAAGUAAUGUUUCCACAAAACACCGCAGGUUAGGGCCUCUGCUCAUGGCAGGAUAGAGAAGGCAAAAUAAAGAGGGGGCUUUGGACUGUUGGUUUUGCGUCAUGUAAGCUUUUUUAGUGACCUUUAAUGGGGAGAGAGACUAGAUGCUGAGUUUAAUCACGUAAGACCAGCUCAAGACAAACGGCGCAGUUUUGUUUCCUGUCUGGAAAGAAAAAAAAAAAUUACUCAUGCACUAACAGGAACUGAACGCUGAACACUCCUUUGGUGCUAGAUUUAUUGGAGGAUUUGACGACAAGAAUUUGCUUGCAGUUUUCCACCUUCCCUGUGCUAUUUUCUUAGCCAGUCAUUUUGAAUACCCCUUCCCCAUCUUUAUCCCCC
Molecule: long non-coding RNA, 596 nt
Filed under: Pan troglodytes (chimpanzee)
Lineage: Eukaryota; Metazoa; Chordata; Mammalia; Primates; Hominidae
Description: long non-coding RNA NONPTRT014876
Source: RNAcentral